Parus major (Great Tit) is the source of this 766-nucleotide long non-coding RNA. RefSeq lists it as uncharacterized. Lineage: Eukaryota; Metazoa; Chordata; Aves; Passeriformes; Paridae. The transcript is spliced from 3 exons. The record is from RefSeq and is a predicted model, not a curated record.
UGUUACUUGACACUGAUGUUGAACAAAGCAAUGAGAAGGCCGGCAAGUCUGAACAACGUUUACUGUGACUUUGGUAUAUAUAAAAGCCAGGUCCAUCAAUGAUUUUCCUAGAAGAGCAACAUUUCUGACGACUUCUGCCAAUUCUACUACUUCAUCUCUUUCAAGGACAAAACUGACUGACUGCUCUAAUCAAAUACGUGGAAGAAGAAAGAAAAAGAGGCACUUAUUUUCCUCCCUUGGAUUCCUCAUCUGGGAGAGAAUACACUUACCAAACAGUUUCAAGAAUAUCAAAGUGAAGCCUGAAUCUUCAGCUGCAUAAUACAGUGAUUUUCAAAGGGUAUUCUUUAUUGAUGUGCUGAAUGUAACAAUAUUAAUGUGUACUUAGAGCAGCACUGUGAUGUACCGCUAUUUUGAAGAAACAAUAAAACAACAAGAACUGCCAUCCAACAUAUAAUUUUAAUCUACAUAAUUCUAAGAAUUUUCCAACUUCUAUGCAGUUGCUGAUUAAAAACAAUACAAAAUCCAAAACAAUGAUCAAACCCACAAAAAUGCCAAAAACAAAACACAUACUCUCCCAUUAGGCCUAUUAUUCUGCAAGAUACCUUCAAGUCACAACUGCUUCCAAAAUUUAAUGUAUGCAAAAUUCAGAUAAAUGACAUCUAUAAGGAUUCAAGUAACUUAAUAUAAUAUAAUUAAGAACACACAGCAAUUUUUGAAGAACUGCUGCUAUUACAGACACCCAAACAAUCACGGUAAUGAUCUACUG